RNAcentral lists this ribosomal RNA (1409 nucleotides) under Salmonella enterica subsp. enterica. RNAcentral describes it as "partial 23S ribosomal RNA". It matches the Rfam family "Bacterial large subunit ribosomal RNA", at positions 434 to 1757 of the family's 2925-position model. Lineage: Bacteria; Pseudomonadati; Pseudomonadota; Gammaproteobacteria; Enterobacterales; Enterobacteriaceae. The record is from RNAcentral.
CUGUCUGAAUAUGGGGGGACCAUCCUCCAAGGCUAAAUACUCCUGACUGACCGAUAGUGAACCAGUACCGUGAGGGAAAGGCGAAAAGAACCCCGGCGAGGGGAGUGAAAAAGAACCUGAAACCGUGUACGUACAAGCAGUGGGAGCACAGGUUUACCUGUGUGACUGCGUACCUUUUGUAUAAUGGGUCAGCGACUUAUAUUCUGUAGCAAGGUUAACCGAAUAGGGGAGCCGGAGGGAAACCGAGUCUUAAUUGGGCGUUAAGUUGCAGGGUAUAGACCCGAAACCCGGUGAUCUAGCCAUGGGCAGGUUGAAGGUUGGGUAACACUAACUGGAGGACCGAACCGACUAAUGUUGAAAAAUUAGCGGAUGACCUGUGGCUGGGGGUGAAAGGCCAAUCAAACCGGGAGAUAGCUGGUUCUCCCCGAAAGCUAUUUAGGUAGCGCCUCGUGAAUUCAUCUCCGGGGGUAGAGCACUGUUUCGGCUAGGGGGCCAUCCCGGCUUACCAACCCGAUGCAAACUGCGAAUACCGGAGAAUGUUAUCACGGGAGACACACGGCGGGUGCUAACGUCCGUCGUGAAGAGGGAAACAACCCAGACCGCCAGCUAAGGUCCCAAAGUCAUGGUUAAGUGGGAAACGAUGUGGGAAGGCCCAGACAGCCAGGAUGUUGGCUUAGAAGCAGCCAUCAUUUAAAGAAAGCGUAAUAGCUCACUGGUCGAGUCGGCCUGCGCGGAAGAUGUAACGGGGCUAAACCAUGCACCGAAGCUGCGGCAGCGAACGUAUCACCCAAGACAACUUUACGGAGUUGACGAUUGACGGAGCGAAGCGACGUCAAAGCGUUCAUUAAAGUCGAGUUGGCUUAGGGAUACGUUCGUUGGGUAGGGGAGCGUUCUGUAAGCCUGUGAAGGUGUGUCGUGAGGCAUGCUGGAGGUAUCAGAAGUGCGAAUGCUGACAUAAGUAACGAUAAAGCGGGUGAAAAGCCCGCUCGCCGGAAGACCAAGGGUUCCUGUCCAACGUUAAUCGGGGCAGGGUGAGUCGACCCCUAAGGCGAGGCCGAAAGGCGUAGUCGAUGGGAAACGGGUUAAUAUUCCCGUACUUGGUGUUACUGCGAAGGGGGGACGGAGAAGGCUAUGUUGGCCGGGCGACGGUUGUCCCGGUUUAAGCGUGUAGGUGUGUGUUCCAGGUAAAUCCGGUUCACUUUAACACUGAGGCGUGACGACGAGGCACUACGGUGCUGAAGCAACAAAUGCCCUGCUUCCAGGAAAAGCCUCUAAGCAUCAGGUAACACGAAAUCGUACCCCAAACCGACACAGGUGGUCAGGUAGAGAAUACCAAGGCGCUUGAGAGAACUCGGGUGAAGGAACUAGGCAAAAUGGUGCCGUAACUUCGGGAGAAGGCACGCUGACAC